This is a non-coding RNA of Oncorhynchus mykiss (rainbow trout), 6128 nucleotides long. NCBI's taxonomy places the organism in Eukaryota, Metazoa, Chordata, Actinopteri, Salmoniformes, Salmonidae. The record is from RefSeq and is a predicted model, not a curated record.
UCUGUGAGACCAGGCUGGUAAAACAUCGCAAUCCGUACGAAAAAGAGGAGGGAGAAGACAAGGAAGAAACAAGAAACAACAUAGAAACGAUUUAUUGGAUCAUUUCUAAACGUUUCUUUGUGGGUGUUUGGCAUUCUAAGAAUGACGAGAACGACGUGAUUUUUUUUCUAUACAUGUUUCUGUUGGAGUUAGUGAAAUGUGUUUUCGAGUGCAUUGUGGAUAGGCUGGAUGUUGAGUGGGGCGUCGUAAGAAGGGACAUUUGAUUUACCAUCGUGUUUUACAUUGAUAUGCAAUUGUUAUAUAUCAGAGCAGCAUAGGACAGUGUAUAGAGAAGCUCUGAACAACUAGAAACUCUGGGUUGCUACGCAGAACAACGGAAUGUCGCUCUGUAAGCAGUGUCAGAACUGAAAAGAUUCCCAUAGCUGUUCAAAGUAUUUUUUCCGGAGACAUCGGUUUUGGACAGCAUGCUUGCACAAUAGGUUCAAAAGUGAAAUUUCGUAGGCUUUAAUACACAAGAAAAGAAGAGAUUGGGGCACAUAUUAUUAUUAUACUGUUCAACACCGUUUGGAUAUGCAAAACCAACUUUGAGAAUGAAGAAAAGGAAAUGUGUGUUCCCGGUAGUUCACAUUGGUCUGUCUGUUUAGAAGGGAAUUUACGCAUUACAUCAACUUUAUUCAAUUUUUUGUCGUCAAUUUAUACAUGUUUUUGGUCAGAAACUUAUCCAAAAGACUGAGCUGGACAUAUUCUGACUAUUCUGCACUGAACAUAGUCUAUUUGAACCGAGCUGGACAAAUUGUGAGCUGGAGCAAAUAAUAGAAACUUAAUCGGAAAUCUAAAGUGGAACAUUAUUUUACCGUAUUUAUAAAGUUAUCAGUUUCACUAUUACGUGGAGAAAAAUAUAACUAAUAACAUUUUCAUUAAGAUUUGGAUUUCAACACUGGUGGAAGUAUUGCUUCCAUUGCGCGCUGGAAAAGGCUGAAUUUUGCACACUGAGGCGGCUGUCGAAUUUGGUUGUGGAACUCUCCCCCCAAGCUGACAUGGAGGAGUGGAGGCAAUGCGGGCGGUGGUUGAUAGACUGCAAGGUUUUGCCCCCAAACCACCGGGUCGUGUGGCCUUCUGCAGCUGUGUUCGACUUGGCACAGGCGCUACGAGACGGAGUGCUCUUGUGCCAGAUGUUGCACAACCUGUCACCGGGGUCUGUGGACCUAAAGGAGAUCAACUUCAGACCCCAGAUGUCCCAGUUUCUCUGUCUGAAGAACAUCCGGACGUUCCUCAAGGUGUGCCACGACAAGUUUGGCCUGCGUAACAGUGAGCUGUUUGACCCUUUUGACCUGUUUGAUGUCAGGGAUUUCGGCAAGGUGAUCUCAGCCCUGUCCAGGAUCUCCCACCACAGCAUUGUGCAGAUCAAAGGCGUGAGGCCUUUUCCUUCGGAGGACACUGCUCUGAAUGAGGAUGACGUGUACCGGAGUCUUGAGGAGCUGGCAGAUGAGCAUGACGUGGGGGAGGAUGACAUCUACGACUGUGUUCCCUGUGAGGAUGAUGGAGAUGACAUCUACGAGGACAUCAUCAAGGUGGAAGUACGACAACCCAUGAUCAGAUACAUGCAGAAAAUGGGCAUGACAGAAGACGACAAGAGAAACUGCUGCUUAGUGGAGAUCCAGGAGACUGAGGCCAAGUACUACAAGACGCUGGAGGACAUUGAGAAGAAUUAUAUGAUUCCCCUGAAGCAAGUUCUAAGUCCACAAGACAUGGGGGCCAUCUUUGUAAAUCUGGAGGAUGUGAUUAAGGUCCACUUUGCUCUGCUGAGGGCCAUCGACCUCAACAUGGUGAGCGGAGGCAACGGUCUGGGGAAGAUCUUCAUAGACUUCAAGGAAAGGUUGCUGAUCUAUGGACAGUACUGCAGCCACAUGGAGACCGCUCAGAAGACACUGGAUGAGCUCAUCACCACACGGGAGGAAGUCAAGAUGAAAGUAGAGGAGUGCACUAUGAAGGUGCAGGAGGGGAAGUUCAAGCUCCAGGACCUGUUGGUCGUGCCCAUGCAGAGAGUACUAAAGUACCACCUCCUACUCAAGGAGCUGGUGAGUCAUUCAACUGACCGACCUGAUAGACAGCAGCUGAAGGAGGCGUUGGAGGCCAUGCAGGACUUGGCUAUGUACAUCAAUGAAGUGAAGAGAGACAACGAGACCUUGAAGAAGAUUAGUGAAUUCCAGAACUCCAUCGAGAACCUUCAGCAGGUCAAACUGGAGGAGUAUGGCAGACCAAAGAUAGAUGGCGAGCUCAAGGUGUCCUCCAUAGUCAACCGAACAAAGCAGGACCGGUACAUAUUCCUGUUUGAUAAAGUGGUCAUUGUGUGCAAGCGGAAAGGCUACAGCUAUGAACUGAAAGAGAUCAUUGAGCUGCAGUCAUACAAAAUGUCUGACGACCCCAUGAACAACAGAGACGUGAAGAAGUCCAGUGGAAAAAUGUGGUCCUAUGGCUUCUACCUGAUUCACCUGCAAGGCAAGCAGGGCUUUCAGUUCUUCUGUAAAACAGAGGACACCAAGAGGAAAUGGAUGGAGCAGUUUGAGAUGGCCAUGUCAAACAUCAAGCCGGAGAAAGCCACGGCCAAUCAGCACAACUUCCAGAUGCACACGUUUGAGAAGAACACCAACUGCCGAGCUUGCAAGAUGCUGCUGAGGGGGAUCUUCUACCAGGGGUACUACUGUUCCCGCUGUGGGACUGGAGCUCAUAAAGAGUGUCUAGAGUGCAUCACCAUCUGCAAAAUCAAUCCACUCGACACGGACCUUGGACUACCGUCAUCAGGCCCUAAGAUGGUGGCAGUAAGGAACUAUCAUGGGACGCCUGUUCCUCCGGGGAAGACUCCACUCUCCUUUCAGACAGGGGACUUCAUCGAGCUGCUGAAGGGGGAACCUGACACCACCUGGUGGGAGGGAAAGCUUAUCCAAACCCAGAAGAGUGGCUUCUUUCCUAACAACUGUGUAAAGCCUUGUUUGGAUCCCAAGCCUUUGUUCCAGUCCUUCCCCAGCCGGCAGCCCUCAAGGGAAACAGACUACUAUGGAUACCCCUGGUUUGCUGGCAACAUGGAGCGGACACAGGCUGACAACCUGUUAAAGUCCCACAGCAGUGGAACAUACCUGAUCAGAGAGAGGACUGCUGAGGCAGAGAGGUUCGCCAUCAGCAUCAAGUUCAAUGAGGAAGUGAAGCACAUUAAAGUCAUUGAGAAAGACAGCUGGAUCCACAUCACUGAGGCUAAGAAGUUUGAGAGUCUACUGGAGUUGGUGGAGUACUAUCAGUCUCAUUCGCUGAAGGAGAGUUUCAAGCUGCUAGACACAACUUUACGAUAUCCCUACAAAUCUAAAGAACGGGGGCCGGCGUCGCGGGCCAGCACCCGCUCUCCAGGUGAGCCCAUCCCUGCAGCCAUUGGCGCUUCCUACAACUUCUCCUUCCUCAGUCCUCAGGGUCUAAACUUCUCCUCUCAGAGCUCAGCCCCCUUCUGGUCAGGUACUCUCUCCUCCCUUUUCUUCAGCUCUUGUUCUUCUUCCCUCUUCCCUCUAGCAAGCCACCUCUCCUCUCGUUUCACAUCCCUUUUCAUCCCGUACUCUUUCAUAGCUGCUGUCAUAGGUUCUCAUCUCUGUUGUCAUGUGUCAUCACUGUGCAUUACAUUGUUUGGAGCAUAUAGGAUGUGCGACUUUAUCUUUAUGUGUCAUCACUGUGCCAUCAUUGAGUAGAGCAUUGAAUGAACUGGUUUCAUUAGAAAGUCAAAUUGAAUCAAGGUGCAGAAUCCAUCUCCUCUGUAUCACUCAUGCACCAUCCUCUCCUCCAACCCUAAUCUCCACUACUGUCUGUUAAUGUUGUGCACUCUCCCACAAUCUUUAUCUGUGGGCCACCAAUGUGUCUGGUCUCUCUGCACUGUUAUCCCACGGACUCGCUCUGAUGUCAUUGCUGCAGUAUUCACGCCGAGGGUGGUCAGCACAGCGGUGGCCAGGUACAACUUUGCAGCACGGGACAUGAGAGAGCUGUCACUCAGAGAAGGGGACAUCGUCAAGAUCUACAGCAAGAUUGGAGGAGACCAGGGCUGGUGGAAGGGAGAGGCCAAUGACAGGAUUGGCUGGUUUCCCUCAACGUACGUUGACGAAGAAGGAGUUCAGUGAGGCUCUGAUGUCACCACGGCCCCAGUCCAAUCACAUCACACCUCGCUCCACAGUCCUCAGAGAGGACUAGUUGGUUUCCAGGGAAACACCAUGUGGAAUACUUUUUGCUGGAUACUGAUUUUGCAGUGAACAACGUUUCUACUCCGGUUUUCUUCCUACUUGUAUGCAUCGGCUUUGCUUAUGUUGUUUUUUUGUAAGAUCUUGUCCUGUUUGAUCUCUGUGAGGAAGUCUGUCUGCCUCUUGUUGUUCUGAAGAGGCUGACGUGGACUGUGAAAAAUUGUAGAGAGGCCCAACACACAGUACAUACAGAUACUGGGAACCUAUAGUUUUAUUACAUAGAUAGACUCCUCCUUUGUUGCAGGUCUAUGGGAGGGGCUAAUAUAAUGUAUAGAUAAUUUAUUUAACAGAGAUCCUAACAAUUAUUGUGUGUUGUUGAGAUUAGCAACACAGCAGACGAAAAGAAAAAGAACAAAACACAGGUUUGUGUCUUUUUGCUGGAAGAUUUUGCCUUAGUUGUCAUGGUGAUGCCUUGAAGGCUUACAGGAGAGAGGGAAGGAGAAAUGGCCUUGCACACACACACACACACACACACACACACACACACACUCACACUUGCCCUUGCCUUUGAAGUGUGGUCAAUGCUCACAGGAUUCGCCAGCUUUCAGUCGAGCUCUACCCAUCCAUCCUCUACUACAGAGUGGACUAUGGAUGGAGAAGAAGAGAGAAGGGGGCGAUGGACCAUUUGGGAUUGCUCCAGUCAUCAACACUCUAUGUGACUGGUGCAAGAAGGGAGUUAGUUCAUUAAUUCGUCCCCCUUGCCGACUGAAGAUAGACAGUGGCCCUCAGAAACAUUGCACUGGAGUCGGGGAAUUAACGGUUCCUGUCGCAGCCAAAAAACACAGCGACCCACUGAAAGGUGUAAUGUUAGGUAGAAUGGGUGUACAGAUAGAAGGUUCACAUCAGUCUCAGCACUUUACGUCUGUGGGAUCUCCUCACAAUCAACAGGAUGCAAAAAGGGAAACUUUAAGUCAGUCCAACACCCACUUAAUGCACUGAAAAUCUAUCUUGGUGUUCAAUGUUUUUGUUGUUUUUAAUUUAGUUUUAUUUUGAACAAGACCACAUUUACCUGCUGGAAACUGGACCAACCUGAAUUAUUUUAAAGCCAAAUGCAACCUCUUUUUAUUAAUGUCCGCAUGAACUUUAACCUAGAUAUUUGUGUUAUCAGUUUGUUUGUACCUUGCCUUAUUUUACAAAUGGACACAUGGUACUGGGACUUUAGCAAGUUUACAAUUUAAAUCAAAUUUUGUUGCUUUGGUGACUGGCGAAGUAAUAUGGCAGCUCCAUGAAUUACGCAGAAUCAAAAAGUCAACAUCAUACUAUGAGGAUCUACCUGAACAUAAUAUGAAGGUGUCACAAUAUGGACAUAUUGUACACAGUCAUACAUUUUCUAGCUCAGAGAGAAAACAGUGCAGCUACACUGGAUCAUUGACUGAAUGACCACAUCCAUUUAAUUAGAAGAUAGAGAUACAGAUGGCUGCCAUAUUCCCUGGUCCCAUCCCAGAUCAGUUGCCAAGUAGGCUACCCACAAUAAUCUACUGACCAGAAGGAUUCAAACAAUGAUGUUGGCUGACAAACUAAGACUGAUGUGGUGGAAGAGGAAAGAGUACUGUAAGUUUCUGACAAUAUGUGACAGUGUGCAUUCCAAAGGCCCACUACUCCCAAAUACAACUCCUGCCAUCUAGGAUUGAAGGAGUUCAUUUUGAGGGGAGUACUUGUUAGCUAUGGGGGGGGGGGGGGGGGGGAAUUACUUAGUCACUGUUUGUGUAGUGGAGAAACCCCAUUGCAUGUGGUAAUAGAUAUUUCAUCUCCUGUCAGUACAUCUUCAAAAAAUUACUUAAUCGUGUACAUUUUUUGGAACGGUCGAGUAUUUCCAAAAUGAGGUCUAUCAUGAAAUAAAUAUUUCUCUUUUUGCCUAAA